GCCAAGUAGAAUAUUUUAGUGUGAAUUUUUGUUGGUGAACCCAUGCCUCAAAAUAAUUUGGAAGCAGCCUGAAUUGGUCAUUGCGUGAGGGUGAACCAACACUGAAAUUUAGGCUCCCAAAGUUACCUUCCCUCCAUGGUCACCAUGAUUGGGACAAUGAUGAGCUAUCUUUGAAGUGAAAUUUUAUACCAAAAACUGGUGGUAACACCUUGCUCUAAGC
Molecule: long non-coding RNA, 220 nt
Filed under: Elaeis guineensis (African oil palm)
Lineage: Eukaryota; Viridiplantae; Streptophyta; Magnoliopsida; Arecales; Arecaceae
Description: long non-coding RNA (EGUI_LNC019891)
Source: RNAcentral